RNAcentral lists this ribosomal RNA (487 nucleotides) under uncultured bacterium. Its description in RNAcentral is "bacterial SSU rRNA". It matches the Rfam family "Bacterial small subunit ribosomal RNA", at positions 39 to 518 of the family's 1533-position model. The record is from RNAcentral.
GCGACAGGCCUAACACAUGCAAGUCGAGGGGCAGCACAAGGAGCAAUCUGAGGUGGCGACCGGCGCACGGGUGAGUAACACGUAUGCAACCUGCCUGUAAGCGGGGAAUAACCCGUUGAAAGACGGACUAAUACCGCAUAAUACUAAAUUACUGCAUGGUAAUUUAUUUAAACAUUUAUGGCUUACAGAUGGGCAUGCGCAUGAUUAGCUAGUUGGAGAGGUAACGGCUCCCCAAGGCAACGAUCAUUAGGGGUUCUGAGAGGAAGGUCCCCCCACACUGGUACUGAGACACGGACCAGACUCCUACGGGAGGCAGCAGUGAGGAAUAUUGGUCAAUGGACGAGAGUCUGAACCAGCCAAGUCGCGUGCAGGAAGAAUGUUCCCUAUGGAUUGUAAACUGCUUUUGCAGGGGAAUAAAGUGCAUCACGUGUGAUGUUUUGUAUGUACUCUGCGAAUAAGGAUCGGCUAACUCCGUGCCAGCCGCGGC